Molecule: ribosomal RNA, 424 nt
Filed under: uncultured Pezizaceae
Lineage: Eukaryota; Fungi; Ascomycota; Pezizomycetes; Pezizales; Pezizaceae
Description: eukaryotic LSU rRNA
Rfam family: 5.8S ribosomal RNA (bases 10-164)
Source: RNAcentral
AAUAAUAAAAACUUUCAACAACGGAUCUCUUGGCUCCUGCAUCGAUGAAGAACGCAGCGAAAUGCGAUAAGUAAUGUGAAUUGCAGAAUUCAGUGAAUCAUCGAGUCUUUGAACGCACAUUGCGCCCUAUGGUUAUUCCGUAGGGCAUGCCCGUCUCANCGUCAGAAGAAAACCCUCAGGCAAGGCUUUAAUGCCAUGCCUGGAUUGUGUCAGAGUGGCAGCAGACCCAAGGUCAUUCUGCCCUUUGUAAAACUAUGGAUGUAUUGAAGAUUUUGUUUCAUUCCAACGUGAUAGAAUAUUGGAUUCGUUGGUAUUUCAAUUAUCUACACAUAUUUCCAAAAAAAAGAACCCACAAAAUUGUUGACAUAUUUGACCUGAGAUCGGGUAGGGAUACCCGCUGAACUUAAGCAUAUCAAUAAGCGGA